AUACGGAGGGUGCAAGCGUUACUCGGAAUCACUGGGCGUAAAGCGCGCGCAGGCGGCUAUUUAAGUUGGAUGUGAAAGCCUACGGCUCAACCGUAGAACUGCAUCCAAAACUAUUUAGCUAGAGUGUGGGAGAGGAAGAUGGAAUUAGUUGUGUAGGGGUAAAAUCCGUAGAGAUAACUAGGAAUACCAAAAGCGAAGGCAAUCUUCUGGAACACUACUGACGCUGAGGCGCGAAAGCGUGGGGAGCAAACAGAAUUAGAAACCCGAGUAGUCC
This 274-nucleotide ribosomal RNA is filed under the name uncultured bacterium. RNAcentral's name for it is "partial 16S ribosomal RNA". It matches the Rfam family "Bacterial small subunit ribosomal RNA", at positions 523 to 796 of the family's 1533-position model. The record is from RNAcentral.